GGCUGGUCGGAUGGUAGUGGAUUAUCAGAAUCACAACGCUAAUGUUGUUUCACUAAAGCUGGUAUACAACCUCUGACUCCUACAUUUGACUGGCUUUUU
RNAcentral lists this Y RNA (99 nucleotides) under Sapajus apella (tufted capuchin). Its description in RNAcentral is "Cebus apella (Tufted capuchin) Y RNA". It matches the Rfam family "Y RNA". From Rfam's summary of the family: Y RNAs are components of the Ro ribonucleoprotein particle (Ro RNP), in association with Ro60 and La proteins. The Y RNAs and Ro60 and La proteins are well conserved, but the function of the Ro RNP is not known. Lineage: Eukaryota; Metazoa; Chordata; Mammalia; Primates; Cebidae. RNAcentral also lists the same sequence under 1 other name. The record is from Rfam by way of RNAcentral.